GUCCAGCUAACGAGUCCCAAACAGGACGAAAUGCGCGUUCUGAAU
RNAcentral lists this non-coding RNA (45 nucleotides) under Schistosoma mattheei. The record is from RNAcentral. Lineage: Eukaryota; Metazoa; Platyhelminthes; Trematoda; Strigeidida; Schistosomatidae.